GAUGAACGCUGGCGGCGUGCUUAACACAUGCAAGUCGAACGGAAAGGCUCCUGCUUGCAGGGGUACUCGAGUGGCGAACGGGUGAGUAACACGUGGGUGAUCUGCCCUGCACUUCGGGAUAAGCCUGGGAAACUGGGUCUAAUACCGGAUAGGACGAUGGUUUGGAUGCCAUUGUGGAAAGUUUUUUCGGUGUGGGAUGAGCUCGCGGCCUAUCAGCUUGUUGGUGGGGUAAUGGCCUACCAAGGCGUCGACGGGUAGCCGGCCUGAGAGGGUGUACGGCCAAAUGGGGAAGGAGAGACGGCCCAGACCCCGAGGGGGGGAAGGAGGGGGGAAAAUUGAAAAAGGGGCGAAAGCCUGAUGGAGCGACGCGGGGGGGGGGAUGACGGCCUUGGGGUUGUAAACUCCUUUCGCAAGGGACGAAGCGAAAGUGAGGGUACCUGGAGAAGAAGCACCGGCUAACUACGG
This 465-nucleotide ribosomal RNA is filed under the name uncultured bacterium. RNAcentral's name for it is "partial 16S ribosomal RNA". It matches the Rfam family "Bacterial small subunit ribosomal RNA", at positions 28 to 506 of the family's 1533-position model. The record is from RNAcentral.